This 1405-nucleotide long non-coding RNA is filed under the name Drosophila melanogaster (fruit fly). Its description in RNAcentral is "long non-coding RNA:CR43960 (Dmel_CR43960)". The record is from RNAcentral. Lineage: Eukaryota; Metazoa; Arthropoda; Insecta; Diptera; Drosophilidae.
UGUUACGACGCGUUGCAGUUGCACUGGAAUAUCAAUUUUAAUAAUAUUAAGUUGUUUCGCGUUGUUAAAGUGUUUCGCAAUAUGAUAAUACGAGUUAUUAAGUGAUCGCGGUGUUGUGUUUUACGCAAACAUAUAAAAUAUAUGUUAGGCUAGCCAGUUAAAUGCAAAAAUGCAAAUGGCGUUCCGCGUGGUGGUGAAAAUGUAUGCAAAAAUACAAAAUGUAAUAAAACAUUGUUAUUUCGCGUUGUUUAAGUGUUCGCAAUAUGUUAAUAUAAGUUAUUAAGUGAUCGUAGUGCUGUGUUUCACGCAAACACAUGGAAAAUAUGUUAAAAUUGCCAAUUAAAUGCAAAUAUGCAAAUGAUGCUCCGCGGGGGGAGUGAAAAUGCAUGCACAUAUGUAUGAAUGUAAGAAUGUAUAUAUGUAUGUACAUACAGCGUGGUGGCGUGGAAGUUCAGCAUCUUGUGAUAAUCGGAUGAAAUUUCUCGCCAGGAUUUCGGUCCUUUAAAGUGUUAUUAAAUCGGUAACUUUUUUUUUGUUUUUUAAGUGAUGUUGCAAUGUAAGAAAAAGUGUCUAAUAAUAUUUACACACAUACAUAAAUGGCCGAAGAAAUUAUUAACGCCAUAAGAAAUCUUAAGUAAUUUGAAAACGCAAGCUAAAUGGCACAUUAAGCAUGGCACAUAAAGCUAAAGCAUUUCUACGAAAAUCUGCGGUCAUAACUUUGCACUUCGAAAUGCCAGUGUUACCAUUCAAGUGGCAGUUAAAAUGGCUUCAGCCUCAAUUGCUGGCAUCCUGGUUGGCGUUUCGCCGGCUGCAUCCACCAUUUUACCAUUCCACCAAUUUACCGCCCUAGCAAUUCGCCAACAGGACCUGCAUCCAACAUUCUACGGCCAACAUUCUACAUAUAACAUUCAACAUCCAGCGACCCGCUGCAUUAGGAAAGUUGACGCUGUUGAUGCUGUGAGCGAUUUAUUGUUUUUGUGUAGAAAGCGUAAAAUGGAACAAAUUUCCUCAUAACCCCCUCCUUGAAGCCCGCUCACACACAAACACACACAUACAAUACAUACAGGCAUACACGCACACAUAGUCACACACUUACACGCACAGCAGUGAUGCCGGCGACCCAUUUCAAAAACAGGACAAAUCGAACUAAAAACAAGACAGAACGCUAUUGUCAAGUACUCGACUAUUGGAUACCCGUUAGUCAGAUUAUGUAGCGCCACGAAGAUUGAGUUUCAGAUUGAGAGCUACAUGUAGCGAAGUGUGUGAUGUAGUAAGCGAAAAUCGAAUGAUGCAUCAAUAUACAUUUAAUAUACUCUUCAACGAAUUAAGUAUACCCAUUUGCGCCACAACUAACGGGUAUAAUAAAACGGCAUUAAAAGGACAAUAAAGACAAGCGGAUUUGGGU